RNAcentral lists this ribosomal RNA (467 nucleotides) under uncultured bacterium. RNAcentral's name for it is "bacterial SSU rRNA". It matches the Rfam family "Bacterial small subunit ribosomal RNA", at positions 917 to 1382 of the family's 1533-position model. The record is from RNAcentral.
GGGCCCGCACAAGCGGUGGAACAUGUGGUUUAAUUCGACGCAACGCGAAGAACCUUACCUACCCUUGACAUGCUCGGAAUUUGCCAGAGAUGGUGAAGUGCCUUCGGGAGCCGAGACACAGGUGCUGCAUGGCUGUCGUCAGCUCGUGUCGUGAGAUGUUGGGUUAAGUCCCGUAACGAGCGCAACCCCUAUACUUAGUUGCCAACAGGUAAAGCUGGGAACUCUAAGAAGACUGCCGGUGAUAAGCCGGAGGAAGGUGGGGAUGACGUCAAGUCCUCAUGGCCCUUACGGGUAGGGCAACACACGUGUUACAAUGGCCGGUACAGAGGGAAGCGAAACCGCGAGGUGGAGCGAAUCCUUUUAAAGCUGGUCGUAGUCCGGAUUGGAGUCUGCAACUCGACUCCAUGAAGUUGGAAUCGCUAGUAAUCGCGGAUCAGAACGCCGCGGUGAAUACGUUCCCGGGCCUU